CGGACAACGCGUUGCAAACCAGUAAUGGUAAGCUAAUCGCAUAAAAUCGACCUCAGUACGGAUUGAGGGUUGCAAUUCACCCUCAUGAAGCUGGAGUUGCUAGUAACCGCAGGUCAGCUAUACUGCGAUGAAUACGUUCCCGGGGCUU
RNAcentral lists this ribosomal RNA (148 nucleotides) under uncultured Caldisericum sp. Its description in RNAcentral is "partial 16S ribosomal RNA". It matches the Rfam family "Bacterial small subunit ribosomal RNA", at positions 1235 to 1382 of the family's 1533-position model. The record is from RNAcentral. Lineage: Bacteria; Pseudomonadati; Caldisericota; Caldisericia; Caldisericales; Caldisericaceae.